CCUACGGGAGGCAGCAGUGGGGAAUAUUGGACAAUGGGGGCAACCCUGAUCCAGCCAUGCCGCGUGUGUGAAGAAGGCCCUCGGGUUGUAAAGCACUUUCAGUGAGGAAGAACGCCUGGUGGUUAAUACCCAUCAGGAAAGACAUCACUCACAGAAGAAGCACCGGCUAACUCCGUGCCAGCAGCCGCGGUAAUACGGAGGGUGCGAGCGUUAAUCGGAAUUACUGGGCGUAAAGCGCGCGUAGGUGGCUUGAUAAGCCGGUUGUGAAAGUCCCGGGCUCAACCUGGGAACGGCAUCCGGAACUGUCAAGCUAGAGUGCAGGAGAGGAAGGUAGAAUUCCCGGUGUAGCGGUGAAAUGCGUAGAGAUCGGGAGGAAUACCAGUGGCGAAGGCGGCCUUCUGGACUGACACUGACACUGAGGUGCGAAAGCGUGGGUAGCAAACAGGAUUAGAUACCCUAGUAGUC
RNAcentral lists this ribosomal RNA (465 nucleotides) under Vreelandella stevensii. RNAcentral describes it as "partial 16S ribosomal RNA". It matches the Rfam family "Bacterial small subunit ribosomal RNA", at positions 338 to 795 of the family's 1533-position model. The record is from RNAcentral. Lineage: Bacteria; Pseudomonadati; Pseudomonadota; Gammaproteobacteria; Oceanospirillales; Halomonadaceae.